Molecule: ribosomal RNA, 492 nt
Filed under: uncultured bacterium
Lineage: Bacteria
Description: partial 16S ribosomal RNA
Rfam family: Bacterial small subunit ribosomal RNA
Source: RNAcentral
GAUGAACGCUAGCUACAGGCUUAACACAUGCAAGUCGAGGGGAAACGACAUCGAAAGCUUGCUUUUGAUGGGCGUCGACCGGCGCACGGGUGAGUAACGCGUAUCCAACCUGCCCACCACUUGGGGAUAACCUUGCGAAAGUAAGACUAAUACCCAAUGACGUCUCUAGAAGACAUCUGAAAGGGAUUAAAGAUUUAUCGGUGAUGGAUGGGGAUGCGUCUGAUUAGCUUGUUGGCGGGGUAACGGCCCACCAAGGCGACGAUCAGUAGGGGUUCUGAGAGGAAGGUCCCCCACAUUGGAACUGAGACACGGUCCAAACUCCUACGGGAGGAAGCAGUGAGGAAUAUUGGUCAAUGGACGAGAGUCUGAACCAGCCAAGUAGCGUGCAGGAUGACGGCCCUAUGGGUUGUAAACUGCUUUUAUAAGGGAAUAAAGUGAGUCUCGUGAGACUUUUUGCAUGUACCUUAUGAAUAAGGACCGGCUAAUUCCGUG